UACGGGGGGGGCAAGCGUUGUUCGGAAUUACUGGGCGUAAAGGGCUCGUAGGUGGCCAACUAAGUCAGACGUGAAAUCCCUCGGCUUAACCGGGGAACUGCGUCUGAUACUGGAUGGCUUGAGUUCGGGAGAGGGAUGCGGAAUUCCAGGUGUAGGCGGUGAAAUGCGCAGAAUAUCAGGAGGAACACCAACGGCGAAGGGCAGCACUCUGGGCCGGUACUGACGCUGAGGAGCGAAAGCGUGGGGAGCGAACAGGA
RNAcentral lists this ribosomal RNA (257 nucleotides) under uncultured bacterium. RNAcentral's name for it is "partial 16S ribosomal RNA". It matches the Rfam family "Bacterial small subunit ribosomal RNA", at positions 524 to 777 of the family's 1533-position model. The record is from RNAcentral.